This is a long non-coding RNA of Cervus elaphus (red deer), 150 nucleotides long. RefSeq lists it as uncharacterized. The transcript has 3 exons. The record is from RefSeq and is a predicted model, not a curated record. NCBI's taxonomy places the organism in Eukaryota, Metazoa, Chordata, Mammalia, Artiodactyla, Cervidae.
CUCACAACUUCAGUAAUAUUAUAAAAAAAACAGAAGACUCACACUGAGACAUACAUAAAUCCACACAGACAGAGAUCUUCUAGUUUUCCGCCUCAGAUUUAAAAUCUCUUUGACCUCCUUUUUUUGGGGCGGAGGCAAGAAUACUGGAGU